ACCAAUCCCAUGCCAGGAAGUGGGGGGUGGGGGGGUGGGAAGGACCCUUGGGGCAUGCCGGGAAAUGCGCUCCCCAGCUAGGAUGCCGUUUGAAACUCACAAGGGUAAGUUACUUGUCUGGUGUCACUCAGUGUCUAAGGACACAUUUGAACUUGAGUUUUCCUGACUCUAGGCUCAGCAUUCUAUCCACUGUGCCACCUAGCUGCCCAAUAAAUAUUAAAGGAGAAUGAAAGAAGGGACUGCUUUGAUGGGAGGUUUCCAUACCGGGCAUAUCACAUCUCCUUGGAAGAGCAGUAAUCAGAGCUAUCACUAACACAGAACUUCCAGGAAUUUGUUUGCAGAGAAUUUACAUACUAUCAAGGCGCACAUUUCUUCUCCUAAAGGAAGGAGUCUCGGAGUCCCCACAUCAGCUGCUAAUGCUUCCUAUUUUGUGUUGUUUUCCAUGUACUGUGUCUAUAUCUUGUAAGUACCUCCUCCUCUAGACUUCAGGGAGAAAGGCAGUGCUUGUUUUGUCUUCCUUUGUAUCCCAAGUGUUAAGUGUAAUUCCUGACUAAUAGUAAACACUUAAUCAAUAUUUGGUGAUAUACAGACUCAUUUAUUGGACCCUAUUACACAGGUACAAUGCAAAAAAGGAAGAGAGAAAUUCCUAUCUUCAAGGAGUGUAGAACAUACUGAAGGUAGGCAGCAUUUGUAAAAAUCAAGCAGGGCAUUUAAAAAAUCAGAAAUAAAGACCAAACCUAGAUAACGCUUCCA
This 753-nucleotide long non-coding RNA is filed under the name Monodelphis domestica (gray short-tailed opossum). RNAcentral describes it as "lncRNA (ENSMODG00000042793.1)". The record is from RNAcentral. Lineage: Eukaryota; Metazoa; Chordata; Mammalia; Didelphimorphia; Didelphidae.